GGGAAUAUUGGACAAUGGGCGCAAGCCUGAUCCAGCAAUGCCGCGUGGGUGAAGAAGGCUUUCGGAUUGUAAAGCCCUUUCGGCGGGGACGAUGAUGACGGUACCCGCAGAAGAAGCCCCGGCUAACUUCGUGCCAGCAGCCGCGGUAAUACGAAGGGGGCUAGGGGUGCUCGGGAUGACUGGGCGUAAAGGGCGCGUAGGCGGCUUGGUUAGUUAGACGUGAAAUUCCUGGGCUCAACCUGGGGGCUGCGUUUAAUACAGCUAGGCUAGAGUGGGGAAGAGGGUUGUGGAAUUCCCAGUGUAGAGGUGAAAUUCGUAGAUAUUGGGAAGAGCACCGGUGGCGAAGGCGGCAACCUGGUCCUUGACUGACGCUGAGGCGCGAAA
Molecule: ribosomal RNA, 384 nt
Filed under: uncultured bacterium
Lineage: Bacteria
Description: bacterial SSU rRNA
Rfam family: Bacterial small subunit ribosomal RNA
Source: RNAcentral